This is a long non-coding RNA of Clupea harengus (Atlantic herring), 714 nucleotides long. RefSeq lists it as uncharacterized. The record is from RefSeq and is a predicted model, not a curated record. NCBI's taxonomy places the organism in Eukaryota, Metazoa, Chordata, Actinopteri, Clupeiformes, Clupeidae.
CUCCUUAUUUUGAAAAAGGAAACCUAUUGAACAUGAACAUGUCAAGUUCCAAUUUAUUUUGCCUAUUUGACUUUGUCUUUUGAGAUUUGGUGCUCGAUUAACAUUAAAGCCAUUCCUGUCAUACAUGUAGGCUACUCUGAAAGAAAAAAUACUUAACGGCAGAAGGUACAAAUAGUGAAAAAAAAUAGUCCUGUAGUCCAACGAUGAUGCAAAGAGUCACUUGACACGGAUUGGCUGAGUUCGUAUCCAAAGCAUAUUUUAUGAAAUCUAUUGGUUGGGAAACAAUAACUAUUAUGUCUUCGGGCAGGCUCUAAUAAACUGUUUAAACACGUUUCACACCUCACCAUAGACUGCAACCGUCAAGCAGAGCACAGCUGCGUUUAAGGGGAAAAUCUUAUUCAUCUCAGAAAUGUUUUACUACCCCACAGUUUUACAUCACCGAACUGGAUGCUUUGCUACAAUAUGGUUGGCAGCCACAAAGGGCAGAUCAAUUACUCGACGGGACUACCUUAAGGUUAACGUCCAACAAACAUGUGAUGAAAUCAUGGAGUACAUAUUGCUGCAAGCCCCACCUCCUCGGCCAGGAUUGCCUCGUCCUCGUUUCUCCCUUCUCCUUUCAUCUCACCUGCAGUAUGGAGUGGUGCGGGUUUAUCACCGGCAAUGUGGCAUUUUCAUAGGUACAGGAUGUGUCACUGGUGUUAGAUGAGUAACGAG